Molecule: long non-coding RNA, 241 nt
Filed under: Lathyrus oleraceus (garden pea)
Lineage: Eukaryota; Viridiplantae; Streptophyta; Magnoliopsida; Fabales; Fabaceae
Description: Pisum sativum (pea) long non-coding RNA (PSAT_LNC026871)
Source: RNAcentral
AAAUAUGCAAAAGCGAAAACGGCAAAGAAAAUUGUGGAAAAACGUGAAACCCUUUUAGGUUUGGCAAGUGGCUAUUUAUAUUGGUGCCUUGAGUAACUGCUUCCGCUUCCAAAGGUCUUCAACGUGCAAAGUAUUUAGGCGUGGACAUCGGCUUCAACUCUCCCUCAACGUCUCUGAAGCGUUGCUUGCGCCAAAAAUGUAGGGGACUGGUGUGACGUUCGUCACAGCAUGUGUGACGUUC